This 329-nucleotide unclassified non-coding RNA is filed under the name soil metagenome. RNAcentral's name for it is "partial contains 5.8S ribosomal RNA, internal transcribed spacer 2, and large subunit ribosomal RNA". The stretch from base 1 to 120 matches the Rfam family "5.8S ribosomal RNA", at positions 35 to 154 of the family's 154-position model. The record is from RNAcentral.
GAUGAAGAACGCAGCGAAGUGCGAUAAGUAAUGUGAAUUGCAGAAUUCAGUGAAUCAUCGAAUCUUUGAACGCACAUUGCGCCCCCUGGUAUUCCGGGGGGCAUGCCUGUUCGAGCGUCAUUACAACCCUCAAGCUCUGCUUGGUGUUGGGCCCCGCCGCCCCGGCGGGCCCUAAAAUCAGUGGCGGUGCCGUCCGGCUCCGAGCGUAGUAAUUCUUCUCGCUCUGGAGGUCCGGGUGUGUGCUCGCCAGCAACCCCCAAUUUUUUUCAGGUUGACCUCGGAUCAGGUAGGGAUACCCGCUGAACUUAAGCAUAUCAAUAAGCGGAGGA